UUUGUUAUGAACAAAAAAUAGAAACAACAAAAAAAGCUAUGGCACUAGAAUUUAAGAAAUGAUUUUUGUUUCAUUUUUACCUUUAUUUUCCUCCUUUUUUUGGGUUCAUUUCAUUUUGUUGUUUUUGUACUACAUGAAGAACUGUUUUUUGCCUGCUGGUACAUUACAUUUCCGGAGGCUGGGUGAAUAAUAAUUUUCUCAACCUCCCUCGGAUGGUGGCCUUAAGGCCAGGUAGUGCUUCAUGAGCUCCACUGGUUGGAUCUCUAGCUACUGGCCUCUAAAUACAACCCUUCUUUACUACAAAAACAAACAAAAAACACAAAAAAAAACACAAAAAAAAACAAAAAAACAGACAGAAAAAAUAAAAACAAAAAACAAUUUCUUUUUUUCUCACUUGUGAAGAGCACUACAAAAAAAACAAAACAAAAUAUAUUACAAAAUCUACAAGGCCUACUGUCUUUAUAAGUACACCGUUCGCAGUGUUUCAAUGGACAUAAUUCACAAUUCUGACCGCUUUUGGACUUCACAGUAUCCAGUUAGAACUGUGGAAUAUUUUGCUUCUGGUUGAACAGCAACCAGAGGAAACAAGGCCCUGCUGGUUUCCACCACGUCUGCUUUCUCACACACACCUGCAUCCACAACACACACAAAAGGGCUGAGGGGAGUGCAAGGCAGUGUGGCUUGGAUAGUGUGGAGUCCCUGCAGGAUGAGGAAGGAGAAUCAGAGGUUCCUCACCUGGAUUCUGCUCCAUCCCACGCUCUCUGGCUCACCCUCCCCACUGCUUUUCCCAUACCACCACUACCACCUUACAGCAGAAACCAAGAAGAGUCAGACAACGAGCAACGGUGGCUUUUUGUAAUUUAUUCAGUGUCUUCGCUGAGCCCAGGGCCUCAGCACAAUCAAGAGGGACUUUCACAGAAGGCAAAGAGGAACACAGAGGAAAAUCAAAGAUAUCAGAGGUUGCAACCUAUGGAUCUAGGUACAAGAGAAGGAAUUACCUGGGUCGAUGAGGGGCUCUGUGAAGUCAUCUGUGAGAUUAUCUACUGGAGUUUGUGCAUCCUGCAGUAUCAUUUGAACUGCUACUUUGUUUUUGAGUUAUGUGGUUCUCUUUUGGCUCUUACUGAGUUCUGUUGUUUCUUUUUUUUGGUUCCAUCUCAGAUUUCUGUUGAAGGAAGGUUCCUUUUGAGAAAGAGAUUUUCUAGCAAUGUUCCCUUG
RNAcentral lists this long non-coding RNA (1215 nucleotides) under Apteryx owenii (little spotted kiwi). RNAcentral describes it as "lncRNA (ENSAOWG00000001433.1)". Lineage: Eukaryota; Metazoa; Chordata; Aves; Apterygiformes; Apterygidae. The record is from RNAcentral.